GAACGUUGUGUUAUAGGAA
Molecule: microRNA, 19 nt
Filed under: Schistosoma mansoni
Lineage: Eukaryota; Metazoa; Platyhelminthes; Trematoda; Strigeidida; Schistosomatidae
Description: sma-miR-8474-3p
Source: miRBase by way of RNAcentral